GCCGAUAUAGCUCAGUUGGCCAGAGCACGUGAUUUGUAAUCUCGGGGUCGUGGGUUCGAAUCCCUCUAUCGGCUCUA
Molecule: transfer RNA, 77 nt
Filed under: Alistipes sp. CAG:514
Lineage: Bacteria; Pseudomonadati; Bacteroidota; Bacteroidia; Bacteroidales; Rikenellaceae
Also listed under: 1 other name
Description: transfer RNA-Thr(TGT)
Rfam family: tRNA
About the family: Transfer RNA (tRNA) molecules are approximately 80 nucleotides in length.
Source: RNAcentral